This 363-nucleotide transfer-messenger RNA is filed under the name Escherichia coli. It matches the Rfam family "transfer-messenger RNA". Rfam says of the family: Bacterial tmRNA, also known as 10Sa RNA or SsrA, is named for its dual tRNA and mRNA-like properties. Its role is to liberate the mRNA from a stalled ribosome. To accomplish this part of the tmRNA is used as a reading frame that ends in a translation stop signal. Lineage: Bacteria; Pseudomonadati; Pseudomonadota; Gammaproteobacteria; Enterobacterales; Enterobacteriaceae. The record is from RNAcentral.
GGGGCUGAUUCUGGAUUCGACGGGAUUUGCGAAACCCAAGGUGCAUGCCGAGGGGCGGUUGGCCUCGUAAAAAGCCGCAAAAAAUAGUCGCAAACGACGAAAACUACGCUUUAGCAGCUUAAUAACCUGCUUAGAGCCCUCUCUCCCUAGCCUCCGCUCUUAGGACGGGGAUCAAGAGAGGUCAAACCCAAAAGAGAUCGCGUGGAAGCCCUGCCUGGGGUUGAAGCGUUAAAACUUAAUCAGGCUAGUUUGUUGGUGGCGUGUCCGUCCGCAGCUGGCAAGCGAAUGUAAAGACUGACUAAGCAUGUAGUACCGAGGAUGUAGGAAUUUCGGACGCGGGUUCAACUCCCGCCAGCUCCACCA